This 269-nucleotide unclassified non-coding RNA is filed under the name Hevea brasiliensis (rubber tree). The record is from RNAcentral. Lineage: Eukaryota; Viridiplantae; Streptophyta; Magnoliopsida; Malpighiales; Euphorbiaceae.
GUGGAAUUAGUCAAGGUGUGCGAAAGCUAUCCCGGACACCAUGGUCAUAAAAAGAAAAGUCUUGGCCUCUAAAUCUAGGUGUUAGGAUACUGGCAUGAUGGAUAAAGUAGUAUUCUUUCUAAAGCAGAAGCACAGGGGAAUUUUGACCUUCUUGCAUAGGCCAUUCAAGACUGUGGCAACUUUGUGGCAUUUUAUCUGCACUUUUGCAGACUAUACAUAAAGCUUUAUUCGAUGUCUAACUGUCAUUCCAACUGUUAUUGCGAUUUUCG